RNAcentral lists this ribosomal RNA (253 nucleotides) under uncultured bacterium. RNAcentral describes it as "partial 16S ribosomal RNA". It matches the Rfam family "Bacterial small subunit ribosomal RNA", at positions 524 to 776 of the family's 1533-position model. The record is from RNAcentral.
AACGUAGGUGGCGAGCGUUAUCCGGAUUUACUGGGCGUAAAGGGCAGGUAGGCGGUUUGGUAAGUCUAUUGUGAAAGCUCCCGGCUUAACUGGGAGAGGCCAAUGGAUACUACCAAGCUUGAGUAUAGGAGAGGUUACUGGAAUUCCCGGUGUAGCGGUGAAAUGCGCAGAUAUCGGGAGGAACACCAAUGGCGAAAGCAGGUAACUGGACUAUUACUGACACUGAACUGCGAAAGCUAGGGGAGCAAACAGG